Molecule: ribosomal RNA, 658 nt
Filed under: Streptomyces fradiae
Lineage: Bacteria; Bacillati; Actinomycetota; Actinomycetes; Kitasatosporales; Streptomycetaceae
Description: bacterial SSU rRNA
Rfam family: Bacterial small subunit ribosomal RNA
Source: RNAcentral
CAUCUGAUGGUGGUGGAAAGCUCCGGCGGUGCAGGAUGAGCCCGCGGCCUAUCAGCUAGUUGGUGAGGUAACGGCUCACCAAGGCGACGACGGGUAGCCGGCCUGAGAGGGCGACCGGCCACACUGGGACUGAGACACGGCCCAGACUCCUACGGGAGGCAGCAGUGGGGAAUAUUGCACAAUGGGCGAAAGCCUGAUGCAGCGACGCCGCGUGAGGGAUGACGGCCUUCGGGUUGUAAACCUCUUUCAGCAGGGAAGAAGCGAAAGUGACGGUACCUGCAGAAGAAGCGCCGGCUAACUACGUGCCAGCAGCCGCGGUAAUACGUAGGGCGCAAGCGUUGUCCGGAAUUAUUGGGCGUAAAGAGCUCGUAGGCGGCCUGUCACGUCGGAUGUGAAAGCCCGGGGCUUAACCCCGGGUCUGCAUUCGAUACGGGCAGGCUAGAGUUCGGUAGGGGAGAUCGGAAUUCCUGGUGUAGCGGUGAAAUGCGCAGAUAUCAGGAGGAACACCGGUGGCGAAGGCGGAUCUCUGGGCCGAUACUGACGCUGAGGAGCGAAAGCGUGGGGAGCGAACAGGAUUAGAUACCCUGGUAGUCCACGCCGUAAACGUUGGGAACUAGGUGUGGGCGACAUUCCACGUCGUCCGUGCCGCAGCUAACGC